Molecule: long non-coding RNA, 1989 nt
Organism: Acanthochromis polyacanthus (spiny chromis)
Lineage: Eukaryota; Metazoa; Chordata; Actinopteri; Pomacentridae
Exons: 5
Source: RefSeq, a predicted model, not a curated record
GCAGCUUAAUCAACACAGAAGCAGAACUUUUCUCUAGAGGUUGCCAAUAGGUGGCAGCAAAUACUGUGAUCACAGCAGAAGACAAUCCUUCCAUGGCCACACAACAUGGAGCUUUCUUCACUUUCAGAAUCUUACUGUACUCCUUUUUCUCCUUUUUUUAAAAAAAUGUUUUUAUCACCAGUAACUGUUACUAGAUGAUGUGCCAACUUUGUACAGUAGCAAUAGUUUGAUUAACAUUUGUAUUUUUGUGAUUUUCAGAUUGAUACAAAAUAAUAAAGCAGAUGUUUUGAAAAUGUAUAUUUCUUCAAUUUUUUUUCUUUUUUGUGCUUGCUUAUUUCAUUUUCUGUGAGAGCAGAAGUAAAGCAGGGACCACAGCCCUUUAUUGUACUGCACUCCUGCUUCUGCUGACACUGCAGACACUUGAGUUGCACAUGCAGUAGUAACUAGCGGGAGUGAGUGUGGAAUGAUUUAUGUGCUGCACUGGGCUGCCUUUGAAGUGGCACCGUUGUAAGGAAAAAGUGCAUCACAAUUUGCCUAUCUCUGUGUUUAAUGCCGUUUAAAGGCAGAUUUUCCGCCAUAGUGAGCGUGGCGGCCUCUGUGAAGGUAACAGCUGCACAUGUAGGCUGUAUUUUCUCCUCGGAGUUGCAGGAACAGGCUGACUGCACUGCACAAAGCACACAAAGGGAGGUAGAAACUGCUGCAUUUUCAGCAUGCAAUAGCUCAGGAAGCUGUGCAAAAUAUUGGCGCUACCAAAGAGAAAUUGUCUUAAUUAUUCACCAAUAGCCAUCCACAAGCCUGCGUGAUGCUCAGUAGAUCAUUCGUCAUGUCUGCUUUUCAGUGAGAUAAAAUCCACUGUCUUCUCUACUUUGUAUCCUAACUUUGUGUUGGUGUGGUGCACCCUCCCUGUCCCCAGUAGCUGCAGUCUGGCUGUUUUUUUCAAUGCUGGGAUUACCCCAGUAUUGCACCACUGGCUUUAACUGUGAAUGCAGCGUUUCACCAGCAGAGGGGUCCCUACACUGAAGGCUCUCCAAGCUGCUCUGCCUGCUGUGCUGUCCGGUUCCAACCAUUUCAUAUCCAGACUUUAACCGCAACCCAGCAACCUGCUAAAUAUCUAAGAGGCACAGCUCUGCCACAGCAUCUCUCUGCAGUGCAGCCAUGGCCACCACAGAAACAAUGUUUCCUGACCAAAGUGACUUUGAUUAUGCUCCAGCUCAUCUGGUACCCAAAUUCCAAAGACAGAGGUGCCUCCUCCAGCUGUAUAGAAAAUGUAGCACAUGCUUCAAAGGGAGACAAGAGGUCAUCACAGGAUCCAUGCUAGCGAAUAGACGCACACACACCAGCUGUUUUGUGGCCAUUUAUCUAAUGGCUAAUAUACCUCUGCCAGCUGGAUGUUUAAUAAACAGGGUUUUCCCAACACACCCUCACCUGAUCCCUCAUCUCCCCCUGAAUUCUGUAGAAAGUCUGCAAAAUAUAUGUCGACAGAUCACUCAGUAUUGCAUCAGUGUAGGGACCUGCAGCUUGUUUAGGACAAAAAAGAAACGAAACCCCAAUUAUGAGAUUCGAUGAUGUGCACUUAAUCAAACGUAUGCAACAAGUGUAGUUUCUCUUCCAUAUAUUUUAUUGCUGCAAAACAAUAAAGUCAAGAGCAUGAUUACAAAAUUAUACAAUUGUCCAUUUUGUGUCCAUGAGUUAACAAUUGCAUGCAUUGCUUAUUUUCUGUUCUGAUCUACUUUUUUUUUGACAUUUGAAAAACAAAACAACUGAAAAAGCUUAACAGAAUAGUAAAGAACCAAUAAAUAAAUAGCACAAAUAUAAGAAGCUCAAAUUAAAUGAUGGAAAAAAUAAAUGAGAACAUUCAGUAAUGUAUUGCAUUUUGAGAUUGCUUUGAGAAAUAUAAUGGCUAAUAUUUUUAAAUGUAGGCAGAAUUAUUUCAAGUGAAAAUUUCUUGUGAAACGUAAAAACCAAUCUAAUAAAGAUCUUGCCAACUCA